This 253-nucleotide ribosomal RNA is filed under the name uncultured bacterium. RNAcentral describes it as "partial 16S ribosomal RNA". It matches the Rfam family "Bacterial small subunit ribosomal RNA", at positions 524 to 776 of the family's 1533-position model. The record is from RNAcentral.
UACGAAGGGGGCUAGCGUUGUUCGGAAUUACUGGGCGUAAAGCGUUUGUAGGCGGUAGAACAAGUCAGAUGUGAAAGCCUGGGGCUCAACCUCAGAAUUGCAUUUGAAACUGUUCUGCUAGAGAAUGUUAGAGGAAAGUGGAAUUCCUAGUGUAGGAGUGAAAUCCGUAGAGAUUAGGAGGAAUAUCGAUGGCGAAGGCAGCUUUCUGGGACAUUUCUGACGCUGAGAAACGAAAGCGUGGGUAGCAAACAGG